GAUGAACGCUGGCGGCGUGCCUAAUACAUGCAAGUCGAGCGAACAGACGAGGAGCUUGCUCCUCUGACGUUAGAGGCGGACGGGUGAGUAACACGUGGAUAACCUACCUAUAAGACUGGGAUAACUUCGGGAAACCGGAGCUAAUACCGGAUAAUAUAUUGAACCGCAUGGUUCAAUAGUGAAAGACGGUUUUGCUGUCACUUAUAGAUGGAUCCGCGCCGCAUUAGCUAGUUUGUAAGGUAACGGCUUACCAAGGCAACGAUGCGUAGCCGACCUGAGAGGGUGAUCGGCCACACUGGAACUGGGACACGGACGAGACUCCUACGGGAGGGAGCAGUAGGGAAUCUUCCGCAAUGGGCGGAAGCCUGACGGAUCAACGCCGCGUGAGUGAUGAAGGUCUUCGGAUCGUAAAACUCUGUUAUUAGGGAAGAACAAAUGUGUAAGUAACUAUGCACGUCUUGACGGUACCUAAUCAGAAAGCAACGGCUAACUACGUG
RNAcentral lists this ribosomal RNA (497 nucleotides) under uncultured bacterium. Its description in RNAcentral is "partial 16S ribosomal RNA". It matches the Rfam family "Bacterial small subunit ribosomal RNA", at positions 28 to 507 of the family's 1533-position model. The record is from RNAcentral.